AAGAUAAUCCCUCCGUCCGAAAAUACUUGUCAUCAAAAUGAAUAAAAAAGAAUGUAUCUAGAAUUAAUAUACAUCUAGAUACAUCCCCUUCUAGUCAUUUUGAUGACAAGUAUUUUCAGACGGAGGGAGUAUUAC
Molecule: non-coding RNA, 135 nt
Organism: Triticum urartu
Lineage: Eukaryota; Viridiplantae; Streptophyta; Magnoliopsida; Poales; Poaceae
Source: Rfam